Molecule: small nuclear RNA, 18 nt
Filed under: Arabidopsis thaliana (thale cress)
Lineage: Eukaryota; Viridiplantae; Streptophyta; Magnoliopsida; Brassicales; Brassicaceae
Description: snRNA_04582
Source: RNAcentral
GACCGGGCCUAAGUUCCC